GCGGGAGGGGAGGUUUUCUUCUCAGUCGGCUGCACGCUGCCGUCUGGUGCCUGCAGCCCUGCCUGCGGUGACGGUCCCUCUGCCCGAGCUCCGCAGCUUUGUCCGGGAACGGGUAGAGGGAAUUUUCUCCUAGCAGGAUGUUAGAUUUGAGGGGCUGUUGUAUCUGGAGCGGUGUUUGAAACAGCUUUGUUGCUGGUGAAACAGCGCUCCCACAGCCAAUUAAAGGAGCCUUCUGAGAGCGCUCUGAUGCGCAUCCAGUUGGGCAGGUGACUGGUCGUUUCCUCAUAAAACCACUCAAAGGAAUGUCUGAAACAUCCCAUGAAUGUCAAAACACCGAGUGCUUAACCUGCCGGCUUCCAUUCUGUGCUUUUUACAUUAUGCACACAAAAAAACUACCUGCAGAAGAUAGCUGCGAGUUGCACGGGUGUGCUUUUCGAGCUUGGAGUUGGAAGCCUUGUGGAAGAGUGUUGUGUCCUGUAGGAAUUAGCUGGGAACUGUUGCAGUUUCCAAAGUAUGUAGGUUUCUGCAAAGGUCAUGUCUCUUAUUUAUUUGCAUGGAAACUACUGCAGAUACCAAGAGCACAAUGGCACUACUUAAUAGAGCAAAUUCUCAGCUACAAAACACUGUUUUUCAACACUCACCACUAGCUAUGCAUUUUCAACAGCCAUGGACCUGAGCCUGCAUGCCACGCUUGUAAGAGUCUGCAGAGGUGACCCACUGUUGCUGUCACUGCUCCUGAAACGCACCACCCACAACCUCACUGUGCUCAUAUCCACUGCUUGGUCUCCAUCAACAUUCAGCAUCAUGAAUGUCAGUAGGUGCCAUUUUUUCUGCAUGGAGGAAUUCAGUGACACACCUUUGCUUUGUGUGCACUUCCACAUCAGAUGCCACUGUGUCAGGACUGUCCCUCUGCUGCAUAUCUGUCAUAUGGCAACAACAUGGAACGGAAUGUUGGCGGGAAGGUUUGACAUCUCCUGCCAUACCACGAACAUCUGCCUCUGAUACUGUGGGCCAACAUAAUAAAAUAGGAGGCACUACUUUUGGAGCAACCCUCAUUUCUACUGUAGUAGUUUUGCACACGUGCAACUUCUUAAAACUCAUCAACACAAAGACCUUUAGUGAUGACGUGCCGCAACUCCCUGGACUCAGCAGUGAAGAUGUUCAAGCCCAGCACAACAGGACCAUAAGAAAGACAUUGAGGCCCCUCACUACAAGAAAGACAGUGAAGCCCUGGAGCAUGGCCAGAGAAGAGCAACAAAGAUGUGUGAACUACAGAGAGCCCUGCCUGGCAGGUAAUCUCACAUGAGGAGCACACCUGAAUGCUGGGAACCCCCAGGAACUUUGUGGCCAUCUAUCAGCACCGACACACAGAAAUUGAGGAUCUGGAGCACACCUGCAGCCAUCUGGAAGCCAGACUGUGAGAAAAGAGGCUCCUGAAGGAAUAUUGGCAGCUGUUCCUGGACAGUGCUGCAUUGAAAAUGUUGCUGUGAUGAGAAAAUUGGAGGCCAGAAUGAGGAUGUGAAAUAAUGCUGAUCUCCAGCAGUUACAAGCUGAAAGGGAGGAGCUUGAAGAAAAACAUCAGGGAACCAAAUGCUGGGAUAUAUGAUGAACAAGAUAUUCCCACAUGCUGAAACUCAGUGUGUAAGCGAAGCUCUAAUGUUAAGCACAAAAUGGGGAAAAUGUAGCUGUAGGGAAGGAGUUGUAGGUGCUCACUGAAAGUACAACCCUGCCAAGACUUCCCUCUGAGGCCUGGAGAAGUAUCAGGCUGCACGUUAAUGAGAGCAUGGGGGUCCAUCAUACUCAGGGCUUGGAAGACCAUGUCUACAAGUUGUCCAAUGCUCCCACAUCGGAAUUGUAGAAUACCCUGAGUUGGAAAAGACCCACAAGGAUCACUGAAGCUACCUCCAGGCUCCACACUGGACCACCCAUCAACCAGACCAUAUGUCUGAGAGUAUGCCCUGUGCAGCCCGUUCCAUGCCCACCGCCCUGUGGUGCAGCCCCUUUCCCUGACCCCCAGCUGCCCUCCCCUGACACAGCUCCAUGCCGUUCCCUCGGGCCCUGUCGCUGUCACACAGAGCAGAGCUCAGCGCUGCCCCUCCGCUCCCUGUGAGGAGCUGCAGCCACCAUCAGGCCUCCCCUCAGCCUAAACUUAAUUCAAUUUAUUGAAGUAUAUUUGAUUUGGUCAAUCAGCCCCAAAGCCUGCAUAGAUAUUUGUAUUUCAGAGGAAAAAUGGAUUACUGCAAGCUAUGUCAACUGACCUAACUUCUCUGCAAAGCUGUUGCCCCUUUGUGCUUAAAGGACUGUGU
This 2306-nucleotide long non-coding RNA is filed under the name Chrysolophus pictus (golden pheasant). RNAcentral's name for it is "lncRNA (ENSCPIG00010003746.1)". Lineage: Eukaryota; Metazoa; Chordata; Aves; Galliformes; Phasianidae. The record is from RNAcentral.